UAACACAUGGGUACCUACCUUGGAGUGAGGGAUACCGGCGAGAAAUCGCCGACAAUACCGCAUAGGCUUCUUCACAAGGGAAGCAAAGUGGCGCAAGCCACGCUUUGAGAUGGGCCUGUGGCCGAUUAGCUAGUUGGUGAGGUAACGGCUUACCAAGGCGACGAUCGGUAGCUGGUCUGAGAGGACGAUCAGCCACACUGGGAUUGAGAACGGCCCAG
Molecule: ribosomal RNA, 218 nt
Filed under: uncultured bacterium
Lineage: Bacteria
Description: partial 16S ribosomal RNA
Rfam family: Bacterial small subunit ribosomal RNA
Source: RNAcentral